Molecule: long non-coding RNA, 2217 nt
Organism: Trifolium pratense (red clover)
Lineage: Eukaryota; Viridiplantae; Streptophyta; Magnoliopsida; Fabales; Fabaceae
Exons: 6
Source: RefSeq, a predicted model, not a curated record
CCCAGACAUUAGAAUUUUAAAACCUAUUUUUUAAUCCCCGCCCAAACUAAAUUAUAGUACUACUAUUAUUUUUUAAUUUUUAAAACCUUUUUGUUAACCCUAAGUCAGAUCGCCUCUGCCUGCACACUUCGCCCACUUCACCCUGCAGAUCGCUCCGUCAAAGCGCCGCUCGUUGUUCUUCACAGUGAUGCUCAUAUCCUCUUCCUUCUCACAGCACCGGCCGGUCACAUACUCCCCACAUCGCUGAGUUUCUCCAUCUUCAAUCAGAGUUACAGAUUUUGGGAAAACAACAGCGGUAAAUUGGUUAUAGCACUCAACAAGAAUUUAGGUGUGUCUAAUUAGAGGUUCUUAAUGAUUUGGAGAUGCAGAUCUUAUAAUCGUUAACUCUCUAUUUUAAUUGAUGAAUCGCUGAUUUUGCCGUAGGGGUGAAUUAAAGAUUUGUAGUUGUAGUUUAUAAGGUGCAUGAGAAAUUCGAAAGAUCUCCUUGAUUACUAAGUUACUGCUAAGUUGUUAGGAUUUGAACUCUGAACUCCCUCUUGUGUUUCUUCUAUACAUUAGGUUAUUUCAUAACACCAUUUUUGGAAUAUAAAGCAACUUUACUUUGCAUUGUUGUUUUUCAGGACAUUUAAUUACUCUCCAAGGGUGAUGAGAGUUGUAACACGGGACAAAUCAUUUAUAGAAGCUCUUGCCAGAGUUAGACAAAUUGCUAGCACAUGAAAAGAAACUUUACUGAUGAAGUUAAGCUGCAAUUUAGUAGGUCCACACAUUUGUGUUUUGUUCUGAAUUUUGCAGCCGAAUAUUGUUUGAUAAGCUGCUUAGUUAACAAAAUUUGACUACCAAAGAAAGGUGGCCACUAUCAACAUGCUAAAAGAAAGGAUGAUGCCGGAAAAGAUAAACUUACCCCAAACGGAUCAAAGAAAUACAGUGAUAUUAAAGCUCCUACAAAAGCAGUUGUAUGCAGUUUUUGAUAUAAGCUCAACUUUUAUGUUUAACUCGUUUGCUUUUGUUUUGCGUUGCUGUUACUUUAUGUGUGCUCACAGCAAGUUCCUCAUGACUAUGCCUUUGAGAAGUGCAUAAGAGAAGAGCUUAUCCUUGCAAAUGAGAAAGGGGUGACUUAUUUGGGUGCCUUACCCUGCUCUAUUUUGUGAUAGUUAUUUUAAUGGUAUUCAUUUUAUUAGAGUAUAUAUGCUUUUGAUACAAUGUGUAUUAGUCAAGUAAUAUAAAAGUAUUUGUUUUUUCAUAGAAUUUGCAACUCAAACUCUUACAAUUGAUCUGUAUACUCUGAACUAUUAUCAUUGUGAUAUUUAUCGUUAUGGUUUAGAACUAUGUUGCAACACUAAGAUUAUAUGUAAUUUAAGAAGGAUAUGUAACAUAUGUUACAAUUAUGUAUACUUUAACUUCUGACAUUGAAAAAAUUUGAUAAAUUAGUUGUUUUGCAGGUAUGUAUUUGUUAUCUCUACAAGAGUUUAUGUCCGAAGCACAAUUUGGUGGAGUAAAAUUGAAAAUUAAGAGUAGACUUUUUUUUUUUUUGGUAAACUUUGAGAUUAUGAUAUUCAUGUUUUUUGCAUAGAAUAUAGUACUUAUAGGUUGUAGUUUUUAACUAUUUUGAAGUUUGACAUGGUUGUAAGACUUCGUGAUAAUUUUAAAUAUGAAUUAAGGUUCAUUUGAUUUUGUUUCAGCCAAGAAGAUAUUUUCUUGUGGAUGCUAUGGACUACAUACUAUCUAGAAUGUUAAGCUUAAAUUUGAUGCAAGUGUUAGUUGAACUUGAACCUACAAUUUAUUGGUGACUUCUUUCUCGGCAUAUUAAUACCGAUCUUGGUUCAGAUUGGAAUCAGGUGGCUGCAAUCAUUUUAAUUAUGGUAUUUGUGUGCUUAGAAGUAAGGAUUUGUUGAGCUGUUGUUAGAGGACAUCAUUCAAGACUGUUAAAGGAAAUCAUAUUUAGAGUGAGUGGGAUUUAAGCAUGGUUUCAUGAUAUGGCAUUUGUUUAGUAUAUGGAGUGGAACUCCAUUUGUACUUCUUCUCUGUUGUAUCAUUUGAUAUAGGUCGUGGGUUUUUUUUGUUAACAUAGUUGAAUCUUGAUUUAGGUGUAGUUUUGCAUAUUGUCAAUGCAGAGCAACUGAUGAUCAUAUAUUUGUAAUUUUGGAAACUCAAUAUUCCUUGUGUUUUGUGGUUGUCUUUCUUUUUAAAAAAUAAAAUAGAUUAUUAUCUAUUUAUUUA